Molecule: ribosomal RNA, 496 nt
Filed under: uncultured bacterium
Lineage: Bacteria
Description: partial 16S ribosomal RNA
Rfam family: Bacterial small subunit ribosomal RNA
Source: RNAcentral
GAUGAACGCUGGCGGCGUGCCUAAUACAUGCAAGUCGAGCGAACAGACGAGGAGCUUGCUCCUCUGACGUUAGCGGCGGACGGGUGAGUAACACGUGGAUAACCUACCUAUAAGACUGGGAUAACUUUGGGAAACCGGAGCUAAUACCGGAUAAUAUAUUGAACCGCAUGGUUCAAUAGUGAAAGACGGUUUUGCUGUCACUUAUAGAUGGAUCCGCGCCGCAUUAGCUAGUUGGUAAGGUAACGGCUUACCAAGGCGACGAUGCGUAGCCGACCUGAGAGGGGGAUCGGCACACUUGGAACUGAGACACGGUCCAGACUCCUACGGGAGGCAGCGGGAGGGAAUCUUCCGCAAUGGGGGAAAGCCUGACGGAGCAACGCCGGGGGGGUGAAGAAGGUCUUCGGAUCGUAAAACUUUGUUAUUAGGGAAAAAAAAAUGUGUAAGUAACGAUGCACGUCUUGACGGUACCUAAUCAGAAAGCCCCGGCUAACUACGG